RNAcentral lists this ribosomal RNA (465 nucleotides) under uncultured bacterium. RNAcentral's name for it is "partial 16S ribosomal RNA". It matches the Rfam family "Bacterial small subunit ribosomal RNA", at positions 28 to 507 of the family's 1533-position model. The record is from RNAcentral.
GACGAACGCUGGCGGCGUGCUUAACACAUGCAAGUCGAACGGAAAGGCCCCUUUGGGGGUACUCGAGUGGCGCACGGGUGAGUAACACGUGAGUAACCUGCCCUUGACUUCGGGAUAACUUCAGGAAACUGGGACUAAUACCGGAUAGGAAUCCUUGCUGCAUGGUGGGGGUUGGAAAGCUUCGGCGGUUUUGGAUGGACUCGCGGCUUAUCAGCUUGUUGGUGGGGUAGUGGCUUACCAAGGCUUUGACGGGUAGCCGGCCUGAGAGGGCGACCGGCCACAUUGGGACUGAGAUACGGCCCAGACUCCUACGGGAGGCAGCAGUGGGGAAUAUUGCACAAUGGGCGGAAGCCUGAUGCAGCAACGCCGCGGGCGGGAUGACGGCCUUCGGGUUGUAAACCGCUUUCAGCAGGGGCGAAGCUUGUGGUGACGGUACCUGCAGAAGAAGCACCGGCUAACUACGUG